RNAcentral lists this ribosomal RNA (141 nucleotides) under Escherichia coli. RNAcentral's name for it is "partial 23S ribosomal RNA". It matches the Rfam family "Bacterial large subunit ribosomal RNA", at positions 1 to 140 of the family's 2925-position model. Lineage: Bacteria; Pseudomonadati; Pseudomonadota; Gammaproteobacteria; Enterobacterales; Enterobacteriaceae. The record is from RNAcentral.
GGUUAAGCGACUAAGCGUACACGGUGGAUGCCCUGGCAGUCAGAGGCGAUGAAGGACGUGCUAAUCUGCGAUAAGCGUCGGUAAGGUGAUAUGAACCGUUAUAACCGGCGAUUUCCGAAUGGGGAAACCCAGUGUGUCUCG